GUGAAUCAUCAAAUCUUUGAACGCAAAUUGCACUCUCCUCGGAGAGUAUGCCUGUUUGAGGGUCAGCCUAUAAAAAAUCGACAUCGUUGCGGUUUCGCGUUGGCGUGCGUCGGAGAUUUGUGCAUCUUUAAUCUUUUGGUUGUAAGCGACUUAAAAUUUUCUUUUUGGUUCCAUGAAGUUUUCUAAAAUUUAUUUCUUUAUACAUGUAAGUUAUUGAUUUUUAUUAAACGUGAACAUCUUAUCG
This 244-nucleotide unclassified non-coding RNA is filed under the name Glomeromycota sp. Its description in RNAcentral is "partial contains 5.8S ribosomal RNA and internal transcribed spacer 2". The stretch from base 1 to 65 matches the Rfam family "5.8S ribosomal RNA", at positions 84 to 154 of the family's 154-position model. Lineage: Eukaryota; Fungi; Glomeromycota. The record is from RNAcentral.